UCCAUUAUAUUCUGAUGAUCAUAACUCUUUCUAAUUAUUUUUCUUAAAGUGAUGUAAAAUUGAAAUACAGUGAAAUGUACCAAUCUUAACUGAAUUACUGUCAAAUUUUUAAAAGUUCCACUCCUCCCUACCCCACAGUGUCCAACAACCCUAUCAAGAUAUGAACCAUUCAUUUCCAAGAGAGCCACUGAAGUGAGAAGAUGAGAAUAACAGAACCCAGGGAGAAGGAACAUCAGACACAGGCCAUGUGCUUUCCCAUAUGACAGAGGUGUCACAGAUGCCAGCAGCCUUUCUUCAGAGAAGGUGGAUUUGGCUGGAAGCAGGGGGAUGAGGAACACACAGAAGAGGACCUGGCAUCUGUCAUCCCAUCAACAGUCCUCAGUGAUUCUCCCAUGAACAGCAAGUGGGAAUGUGGCCCCCAGGCCUGGCCUUCCCCACAAGGUGAUGAUGGUGGAGCACACCAGGAUGGCAGAUGCUAGACCAGUGUUUGUUCCAGAGAAGCUAAGAGAGUACAAAAUGC
Long non-coding RNA from Choloepus didactylus (southern two-toed sloth), 520 nucleotides. RefSeq lists it as uncharacterized. The transcript is spliced from 3 exons. Lineage: Eukaryota; Metazoa; Chordata; Mammalia; Pilosa; Megalonychidae. The record is from RefSeq and is a predicted model, not a curated record.